GAGCCGUGAGGAGUGUUGUGUCCCUUUGAUAUGGUUGUGUCCCUUACGACAUCUGAUCAAUAUGGAUGAAUGCUAGCGCUUCUGAGUUC
Ziziphus jujuba (common jujube) is the source of this 89-nucleotide small nucleolar RNA. RefSeq annotates it as small nucleolar RNA snoR114. The record is from RefSeq and is a predicted model, not a curated record. The transcript has a single exon. NCBI's taxonomy places the organism in Eukaryota, Viridiplantae, Streptophyta, Magnoliopsida, Rosales, Rhamnaceae.